GUGGGAUAUUAGUGGGGUGCGAUGUUACUUGAUGUGAUAUCAUUAAUGGGGAGCAAUGAUAUUAGUGGGGUGCGAUAUCAUUACUGGUGUGGGAUAUUACCUAUAAUUAUUUAGAAAGAAGAUGCAAUGUUUUUAAUGUUUGUGGUGCUGAGGUGUGUGUGAUGCUCUGUUCAUUCUCGCAGGAGCUGCUGGCGUGAGCGCAGCGUGUUGCGCAGAGUUUAGCUGGCAGACAGGAUGACGUGUGAAUUUUUCCUGCUCUCGUCCCUGUGGUUCAUUGUUGUGAUAUUUUGGAUGGAGACUAUCAGCAUGUGGCUCUUCCUCUGCCAUCUAUUCCAGGAUCGCGCCCUGCAUCAGUGGGUGGAGAGGUGUGUGAUAUCCAGCAUGUCUGAGGUUUAGUAUAAAGUGCACCAACUUGUCACUUGUGUGUAUUGUAUGUGGAUGCUGUGAGAAGGCGUUCAGCACUCUGGAAGGAAAACCCAAAGCAAUAUCAAGCACAAAGCCGAUUAUGACAAUGUCGCCCACAUCUGCUGCACAUACAGGGGUGAAGGACUGAGAAACUGUCACUUUCAGAAAAGUCAGUGGCCUUUUCUUUAGAAGAACCGUAAUUGGGUUUAAACUUUUCCAGAUAAGUUUCCCUCCACAUAUUUUUAAUAGUGACCAGUCUGAAUUAAUAUUCUCUGCAGAUUUGCCGUCUGUAAUAGGUGUGUUGGUCUUUAUAGUGUGCGCACACCCAGUAAUGGUUCUGCUAGAAUACAGGGUGUGCGCUUGUGAUAUUACCAGGUUCGCUUCUGCCCCAGUUGCUGUGGCUUGACUGGGGUCCUCCUGGAGCCUCUCCAUCCUUGAACAGGAUAGGGGACUAGCUCUAUUCCCUCCCAGGGACUGGAAGACACACAGUCCUGUAGUCCUUACAAAGACUUUCCCAGACGAAUCCUCCUCGAGCUGAAACUAGGUGCUGUGCUGUGCUGUGAUUAGCCCUUCCCCUCCCAGUAACUAGAGGACACAUAGUCCUGGGAGUUCAACUGAUUUUAAUGAGCCAAACUUGGCUUUUUAUGCACUGACCCCAGCAUGGGGUCUCCAUUGUAUUCAACACAAGCCCCUUCCAGGAAUACCUGGACCUGGAAGAUAAUUGAGUUAAAGAACGGUAAGCUAAUUAUCUCCCAGCAACACAUAACAUAAAAGUACCCCGGUUAUAAUAUACUGUGUGUGGUAAUGGACCGGUUAUAAUCUAAUAUACUGUGUGUGGCAAUGGGCCGGAUAUAAUAUUCUGUGUGUGGUCAUGGACCGGUUAUAAUAUACUGUGUGUGCUAAUGGGCCGGUUAUAAUGUACUGUGUGUGCUAAUGGGCCGGUUAUAAUGUACUGUGUGUGCUAAUGGGCCGGUUAUAAUAUACUGUGUGUGCUAAUGGGCCGGUUAUAAUAUACUGUGUGUGGCAGUGGGCCGGAUAUAAUAUACUGUGUGUGGUCAUGGACCGGUUAUAAUAUAAUAUACUGUGUGUGGUAAUGGACCGGUUAUAAUAUAAUAUACUGUGUGUGGCAAUGGGCCGGUUAUAAUAUACUGUGUGUGGCAGUGGGCCGGAUAUAAUAUACUGUGUGUGGUCAUGGACCGUUUAUAAUAUACUGUGUGUGCUAAUGGGCCGGUUAUAAUGUACUGUGUGUGCUAAUGGGCCGGUUAUAAUGUACUGUGUGUGCGCUAAUGGGCCGGUUAUAAUAUACUGUGUGUGCUAAUGGGCCGGUUAUAAUAUACUGUGUGUGGUCAUGGACCGGUUAUAAUAUAAUAUACUGUGUGUGGUAAUGGACCGGUUAUAAUAUAAUAUACUGUGUGUGGCAAUGGGCCGGUUAUAAUAUACUGUGUGUGGUCAUGGACCGUUUAUAAUAUACUGUGUGUGCUAAUGGGCCGGUUAUAAUAUACUGUGUGUGGUCAUGGACAGUUUAUAAUAUAUUGUGUGUGGCAAUGGGCUGGUUAUAAUAUACUGUGUGUGGUCAUGGACCGUUUAUAAUAUACUGUGUGUGCACACAAAACUAUCGUUCAUUGCAGCAUGGGAGAAGGAAUUCACAUAUACUCUCGAUGCGCGGCAAUGGAAUAAAAUUCUACUUGCACAUAACUCACUCUCCAAAUGCGCCUCCCACAUGGAACUAUCCCGAAAAAUCCUAUAUUGGUGGUACUUAGUGCCUACACGUAUAAAAGCAACAUACCCACAAGCCUCCGAUCUCUGUUGGAGAUGCCAACAACACAAAGGCACAAUGCUCCAUGUAUGGUGGAACUGCCCCUCCCUAACAAACUACUGGGACAACAUAACUACCAUUAUACAAGAUAGCACAAACAUGCUUUUACCCCGCAAGCCAGAAACGUACCUUCUCCAGCUUUUCCCGAAGGGAAUGCAGGGUAGCCAGAAAUACUUAACUUACCACAUACUUAUGGCUACACUAACUGUCAUUCGUAGACACUGGAAAUCCGCUAUCCCGCCCACAAUAACAGAAUGUGUACAAACGAUAGAAACAACUAAGCUCUAUGAACAGGCAACCAGACGAUCAAGUCAAUCCAAAAAAAUUUGGUCACAAGCCUGGGAAACCUGGCAGUCGUACAUAAGGCGUAACACCGUGCCCUCAAAAUAAGAGGCUGUGCCCUUUUAGACAAUGAAAAUUGUAAAUGAUAACAAAAUUGUAAAUAAUGAUAACGUGGUGAAUAAAAAUAACAAAUAGUUGAAAGAACAAAUGCUCAAUAGAAUCAACCAUAAGAAGUCAAAAGCCUGGGAGAACCCUACCCCCUUCUAUCUACACCUCAUCCCCCACCUGUGCCCCCACCCCCCUAAACCCAUCCCUUCUCCACCGUUCCCCCCCCCCCUCUUCCAGUGGUACAUGAAACACCAAUACUCUGCACCUUCUACCAAAGACAAAACCAGGUGAAUGUGGACCCCGAUAGUCGAACGUGAGUCCUUCCCACGGUAGAAAACUGACCAAACCGCUAGACAAACCUAGAGAAACACAAAGCCUGUACACAAAAAAGUCAAAUAUAAAAAUGUUGUAUAUGAAUAAUGUGCAAAUUGUAUGCAUGUCAGUGUAUAAGACGAUAUUUAUCUUACCACUGUUCCCCAUCCCCAUUCUAUUCUGUACCCUUAUAAAACUGAAAUAAAAAUUGUCGAAGUUAAAAAAUAAAAAUAAAUAUACUGUGUGUGCUAAUGGGCCAGUUAUAAUAUAAUAUACUGUGUGUGCUAAUGGGCCAGUUAUAAUAUAAUAUACUGUGUGUGCUAAUGGGCCAGUUAUAAUAUAAUAUACUGUGUGUGCUAAUGGGCCAGUUAUAAUAUAAUAUACUGUGUGUGGCAAUGGGCCGGUUAUAAUAUAAUAUACGGUGUGUGGCAAUGGGCUGGUUAUAAUAUAAUAUACUGUGUGUGGCAAUGGGCUGGUUAUAAUAUAAUAUACUGUGUGUGGCAAUGGGCCAGUUAUAAUAUAAUAUACUGUGUGUGGCAAUGGGCCGGUUAUAAUAUAAUAUACGGUGUGUGGCAAUGGGCUGGUUAUAAUAUAAUAUACUGUGUGUGGCAAUGGGCUGGUUAUAAUAUAAUAUACUGUGUGUGGCAAUGGGCUGGUUAUAAUAUAAUAUACUAUGUGUGGCAAUGGGCCAGUUAUAAUAUAAUAUAAUAUAAUAUAAUAUAAUAUAAUAUACGGUGUGUGGCAAUGGGCCGGUGUAUAAUAUAAUAUACGGUGUGUGGCAAUGGGCUGGUUAUAAUAUAAUAUACUGUGCGUGGCAAUGGGCCGGUUAUAAUAUAAUAUACUGUGUGUGGCAAUGGGCCGGUUAUAAUAUAAUAUACUGUCUGUGGCAAUGGGCUGGUUAUAAUAUACUGUGUGUGGCAAUGGGCUGGUUAUAAUAUAAUAUACUGUGCGUGGCAAUGGGCCAGUUAUAAUAUAAUAUACUGUGUGUGGCAAUGGGCUGGUUAUAAUAUAAUAUACGGUGUGUGUGGUAAUGGGCAGGUUAUAAUAUACUGUGUGUGGCAAUGGGCUGGUUAUAAUAUAAUAUACUGUGUGUGGCAAUGGGCCGGUUAUAAUAUAAUAUACUGUGUGUGGCAAUGGGCCGGUUAUAAUGUAAUAUACUGUGUGUGGCAAUGGGCCGGUUAUAAUGUAAUAUACUGUGUGUGGCAAUGGGCCGGUUAUAAUAUAAUAUACUGUGUUUGGCAAUGGGCUGGUUAUAAUAUAAUGUACUGUGUGUGGCAAUGGGCCGGUUAUAAUAUAAUAUACUGUGUGUGGCAAUGGGCUGGUUAUAAUAUAAUAUACGGUGUGUGUGUGUGUGUGUGGUAAUGGGCAGGUUAUAAUAUAAUAUACUGUCUGGCAAUGGGCCGGUUAUAAUAUAAUCUACUGUGUGUGGUAAUGGGCUGGUUAUAAUAUAAUAUAAUAUACGGUGUGUGGCAAUGGGCCGGUUAUAAUAUAAUAUACGGUGUGUGGCAAUGGGCUGGUUAUAAUAUAAUAUACGGUGUGUGGCAAUGGGCCGGUUAUAAUAUAAUAUAAUAUAAUAUAAUAUACUGUGUGUGGCAAUGGGCUGGUUAUAAUAUAAUAUAAUAUACUGUGUGUGGCAAUGGGCUGGUUAUAAUAUAAUAUACGGUGUGUGUGUGUGUGUGGUAAUGGGCAGGUUAUAAUAUAAUAUACUGUGUCUGGCAAUGGGCUGGUUAUAAUAUAAUAUACUGUGUGUGGCCAUGGGCUGGUUAUAAUAUAAUAUACUGUGUGUGGCAAUGGGCUGGUUAUAAUAUAAUAUACGGUGUGUGUGUGUGGUAAUGGGCAGGUUAUAAUAUAAUAUACUGUGUCUGGCAAUGGGCCGGUUAUAAUAUAAUCUACUGUGUGUGGCAAUGGGCUGGUUAUAAUAUAAUAUACGGUGUGUGGCAAUGGGCCGGUUAUAAUAUAAUAUACGGUAUGUGGCAAUGGGCUGGUUAUAAUAUAAUAUACGGUGUGUGGCAAUGGGCUGGUUAUAAUAUAAUAUACGGUGUGUGUGUGUGGCAAUGGGCCGGUUAUAAUAUAAUCUACUGUGUGUGGCAAUGGGCCGGUUAUAAUAUAAUCUACUGUGUGUGGCAAUGGGCUGGUUAUAAUAUAAUAUACUGUGUGUGGCAAUGGGCUGGUUAUAAUAUACUGUGUGUGGCAAUGGGCUGGUUAUAAUAUAAUAUACGGUGUGUGUGGUAAUGGGCAGGUUAUAAUAUAAUCUACUGUGUCUGGCAAUGGGCCAGUUAUAAUAUAAUCUACUGUGUUUGGCAAUGUGCUGGUUAUAAUAUAAUAUACUGUGUGUGGCAAUGGGCAGGUUAUAAUAUACUGUGUGGCAAUGGGCCGGUUAUAAUAUAAUAUACUGUGUGGCAAUGGGCCGGUUAUAAUAUAAUCUACUGUGUGUGGCAAUGGGCCGGUUAUAAUAUACUGUGUGUGGCAAUGGGCCGGUUAUAAUAUAAUCUACUGUGUGUGGCAAUGGGCCGGUUAUAAUAUAAUAUACUGUGUGUGGCAAUGGGCUGGUUAUAAUAUAAUAUACGGUGUGUGUGUGGUAAUGGGCAGGUUAUAAUAGUGUGUGUGUGUGUGUGUGUGGCAAUGGGCCGGUUAUAAUAUAAUAUACUGUGUGUGGCAAUGGGCCGGUUAUAAUAUAAUCUACUGUGUGUGGCAAUGGGCUGGUUAUAAUAUAAUAUAUUGUGUGUGGCAAUGGGCCGAUUAUAAUAUAAUAUACGGUGUGUGGCAAUGGGCUUGUUAUAAUAUAAUAUAAUAUUGUGUGUGUGUGUGUGUGUGUGUGUGUGUGUGUGUGGGUGGUCAUGGGCCGGUUAUAAUAUACGGUGUGUGGCAAUGGGCUGGUUAUAAUAUAAUAUACUGUGUGUGGCAAUGGGCUGGUUAUAAUAUAAUAUACUGUGUGUGGCAAUGGGCUGGUUAUAAUAUAAUAUAAUAUAUUGUGUGUGGCAAUGGGCCGAUUAUAAUAUAAUAUACGGUGUGUGGCAAUGGGCUUGUUAUAAUAUAAUAUUGUGUGUGUGUGUGUGUGUGUGUGUGUGUGUGUGUGUGGUCAUGGGCCGGUUAUAAUAUACGGUGUGUGGCAAUGGGCUGGUUAUAAUAUAAUAUACUGUGUGAUGCUGUAACAGACAUUCUGCUUUCUCCCCAGGAUUUACACACCCUGACCAGAUAAUGUACGUAAUAAUCAGGUGAGUACAGAGCGCGUAUUGUUUGUAUUGUUAAUAGUUUUAUUGUUUGAUUAUACCUGUCCAGACAUACAAGCUAUUCAGACAGGCGAUGUGUAAAUAUUUUACUGCCCUGGGUUUAUGACACAAGUUUCACCAGGCUCCUCUCUGAAUAACAACACAUUAACACCCUCUCCCUCCCCCUCCAAAAACCCGUUCUCCACCCCCUUGACAUGCUUUGCCAAACCUAACCCUCCCCUGUACCCAUUGUACGUCUUGUAUACUGUGGGAUAUCUCUCCUUCACCUGCUAUAUAAGGUCUGAUUGUGUGCGUUGCAGUCAGAACCAGGGGCGGGCUCACAGAGCCCUCAGGCAAUAGGGGAUUGUGCGCUUUCACACCGAUAUUAUGUGCACGCUGUCCAGCUUGCAUAAUGGCUGAAUGAGAGCCACACAGUCAUGACUCCCAGACCUGCAGGGCCUCAGAAGAGGGCCAGCUUUACAUUUAAUAGGUCAAUCCUACCAAAAACAGUGUUUUAAUAAAACCCUAACUGGCUUCCACACCUCCCAUUAAAAUAAAUAAAGCUAAUUUAAUUAUACAAAAUCUGUUUGUUGCUGCCGAUAUCACAAGCAGUGUCCCCCACAUGUGCAACCAUACUAGUCCAUAUAAGUACAAUGUUUGUAGGCUACUUGUGUGGUUGCGUGUGGGGGCUUCUGCUUGUGAUGUUGUGUUCCUGUAUGUCAAUGUGCUGAGUUAGAAUGUAUCUGUCUUGUUUUACCUAUUGUACUGCGCUGCAGAAUAUGUUGGUGCUAUAUAAAUAACUGUAAUAAUUGUGAUUGUAUGUGUAAGGAGGCUGUAUGCAGCAUUGUAAAGGUGGGAAUGCAGCUUGUGAUGUGUGUGUGUGUGUGUGUGGGGAGGCUGUAUGCAGUAUUGUAAUGGUGGAGAUGCAGCUUGUGUGUGUGUGUACGCUGUAUGCAGUAUUGUAAUGGUGAGGAUGCAGCGUGUGGUGUGUGUGUGUGUAGGGAAGCUGUAGCAGGAUUGUAAUAGUGGGGAUGCAGCUUGUGGUGUGUGUGUGUGGAGGCUGUAUGCAGUAUUGUAAUGGUGGGGAUGCAGCGUGUGGUGUGUGUGUGUGUGUGUGUGGAGACUGUAUGCAGUAUUGUAAUGGUGGGGAUGCAGCUUGUGUGUGGAGGCUGUAUGCAGUAUUGUAAUGGUGGGGAUGCAGCUUGUGGGGGGUGUGUGUGAAGGGAGACUGUAUGCAGUAUUGUAAUAGUGGGGAUGCAGCUUGUGGGGGGUGUGUGUGUGUGUAGGCUGUAUGCAGUAUUGGAAUGGUGGGGAUGCAGCUUGAGGUGUAUGUGGAGGCUGUAUGCAGUAUUGGAAUGGUGGGGAUGCAGCUUGUGUGUGUGUGUGUGGGCUGUAUGCAGUAUUGUAAUGGUGGGGAUGCAGCUUGUGGUGUGUGUAUGUGUGUGGAGGCUGUAUGCAGUAUUGUAAUGGUGGGGAUGCAGCUUGUGGUGUGUGUGUGUACGCUGUAUGCAGUAUUGUAAUGGUGAGGAUGCAGCGUGUGGUGUGUGUGUGUGUGUGUGUAGGGAAGCUGUAGCAGGAUUGUAAUGGUGGGGAUGCAGCGUGUGGUGUGUGUGGAGACUGUAUGCAGUAUUGUAAUGGUGGGGAUGCAGCUUGUGUGUGGAGGCUGUAUGCAGUAUUGUAAUGGUGGGGAUGCAACUUGUGGGGGGUGUGUGUGAAGGGAGACUGUAUGCAGUAUUGUAAUAGUGGGGAUGCAGCUUGUGGGGUGUGUGUGUGUGUGUGUGUAGGCUGUAUGCAGUAUUGGAAUGGUGGGGAUGCAGCUUGAGGUGUAUGUGGAGGCUGUAUGCAGUAUUGGAAUGGUGGGGAUGCAGCUUGUGGUGUGUGUGUGUAGGGAGGCUGUAUGCAGUAUUGUAAUAGUGGGGAUGCAGCUUGUGUGUGUGUGUGUGUGUGGGCUGUAUGCAGUAUUGUAAUGGUGGGGAUGCAGCUUGUGGUGUGUGUAUGUGUGUGGGCUGUAUGCAGUAUAUUGUAAUGGUGGGGACAGCUUGUGGUGUGUGUGUGUGUGUGUGUGUGUGGAGGCUGUAUGCAGUAUUGUAAUGGUGGGGAUGCAGCUUGUGGUGUCUGUGUGUGUGUGUGUGUGUGUGUGUGUAGGGAGGCUGUAUGCAGUAUUGUAAUAGUGGGGAUGCAGCUUGUGUGUGUGUGUGUGUGUGUGUGGGCUGUAUGCAGUAUUGUAAUGAGGUGGGGAUGCAGCUUGUGGUGUGUGUGUGUGGGGAGCUGUAUGCAGUAUUGUAAUGGUGGGGAUGUAGCUUGUGGGGGUGUGUGUGUGUGUGUGUGAGGCUGUAUGCAGUGUGCUUAAUGGUGGGGAUGUAGCUUGUGGGGUGUGUGUGUGUGUGUGUGUGGAGGCUGUAUGCAGUAUUGUAAUGGUGGGGAUGUAGCUUGUGGGGUGUGUGUGUGUGUGGAGGCUGUAUGCAGUAUUGUAAUGGUGGGGAUGCAUCUUGUGGUGUGUGUGUAGGUAGGCUGUAUGCAGUAUUGUAAUGGUGGUGAUGCAGCUUGUGGUGUGUGUGUGUGUGUGUAGGGGGGCUGUAUGCAGUAUUGUAAUGGUGGGGGAAGCAGCGAGCAGCCAGUGGCUGCUGUAAAAUAAAAAUAAAAAACCCUAUUGCCCCCACCCCUGCACGGUGGUUGGGGGCCAUAAAGAUAAUAUUGGGGGGGAAUUUGUCUUAGGGCCCCCACCCGCUGCUCGGGGGUGGGUGGGGGAGGACAGUAGGUGUGUCCCCCAUUGUAAUUUAUGGCUCCCAUCCACCGCGCAGGGGUGGGGGCAGGAGGGGAGGACAGUAGAUUCCCUCCCCCUCAUUAUUUUUAUGGCCCCCAACCACCGCUCAAGGGUGGGGGUGGGGGGGGGUAGGACAGAAGGUCGUCGUCCCCAUUGUAAUUUAUGUCCCCCACCCACCGCGCAGGGGGGUGGAGGACAGUAGGCUGCUUACUAGACACGCCCCUACUCGCGGUAUAGCGAGUAGGGGCAGAUCAUUUACUAAUACUAAGUAAUUUUUACUCAGUAUUAGUAAAUGUGGCUGAAAGACCAGUUUAGGUUUUUCAGCCUUUUAGUAGAUAACUCCCUGAUACCGUGGGAAUUAGGGAGUUAUCUACUAAGCGGCUGCAAGAUGCAGCCACAGCACGAAUAGGAUCGGAGUUUCAUUCAUUCAAAUUAAAUUCCGAUCCGAAUAAAGUCCCGAAUUGCGUUCUAACACGAAUGGGAAAAACUGUUAGAACGCAAUUCGACAGUUUUGCCGGCGUCCUGUCUAAGUGACAGGAUGUUCGGCAGUACUGACAGUAGGCAUCGUGGGAACACGGAGGAAAGCUAAGGAUCAUGGGAAAAUUGCUGUGACCACUGGAAACUAAGCACACUUUGCUCCUCCGCUGGUCACUGCGUAGGAAACCUCCAGAAGAGAAAUAGUCCCUACUUUUUCUUCAUUUUUAAAGAAAACUAAAGCAGACAGGAAGAAAAGAAGAACAGAUACUGAGAGAGGGAGAGAAGAGGAAUCGAUUGGGGAAAGGUAAGUUCGGCAUGGCAGUGCUGCUUUAAAGCUCUACUGUGUGUGGGCACUAUAGAUGCUGCAGUAUGUGUGUGGAUAGUGACUGCAGUGUGUGCGAGGGGAUAUGGACUGUAGUAGGUGCGGGGUGGCAUAGGAACUUUUAGUAGGUGCAGGCGGAGAUAGUGGGUGCAGGAGUGAUAGGGGCAAUAUCGGGUACUGGGAGGUAUAGGUGCUGUAGUGGGUCCAGUGAGGGAUGGGGCUGUAGUGGAUGCAGAAAGGCAUAGGGGCUGUAGUGCAUACAGAGAUCAAUAGGGAUAAGAGGGUUGGGGCUGUAGUGGGUGCAAGGGGGCAUAGGGGCGAUAUUAUUUGCAGAAAGGCACAGGGGCUGUAGUGGAUGAGUGGGUACAGAGAAAGAUAGAGGCUGUGGUGGGUAGAGGGGAGCAUAGGGGCUUAGGUGGUUUAGGUAGGUACAGGAAGAGCUAGAGCCUGAGGUGGGUGAAGGGAGGGUUGGGGGCUAUGGUGGGUGCAUAAAGGCUGUAGUGGGUGCGUGGGCAUAUGGGCUAAGGUGGCUGCAGGAAGGCAUCGGAGCUGUAGUGGGUGUAGGGAUUGUGAUGGGCAAAAGGUGGGAUAGGAGCUGUGGCGGGUGAAGGGGGGCAUAGCGGCUGUAAGGGUGCAGGGUGGCAUAGGGGCUGUGGUGGGUCAAGGGGACAGGGAAGAGUAAAGGAGGGCAUAGGGGCUGUGGUAAGUGCUGGAAAGGGAUAGUGGCUGUGUGGGUAAAGGGGGGCAUGGGGCUGGAUGGGUAAAAAGGGGCUAAUAGUGUAAAAGUUGGCAUAAGUGAUGCACAGGGCUAGAUAGGUAAAGGGGGCAUAGGGGCUGAGAUGUGUGCAGGGGGUAUAGUGGAUGGAUGGGUAAAGGGGGGCAUAGGGGCUGGAUGUUUAAAGGAAGGGAUAGGGGCUGAGAUGUGUGCAAGGGGUAUAGGGGCUGUGGUGGGUAAAUGGGGUAAAGAAAAUCUUUACAUACCUGUAGAUUCUGUCAUGCUGCUCCUCUGCAGGAGACGGGGGCAGGAAGUGCCCCCUUUAGACUUCUGCAGAGCCGUGGAAUGGAGGAGACCUGACAAGAAGAGCAACAUCACUGCCAGGACUCUCUGAGAAGGAGGGGGUGGAGGGGGGACAUUUAGAGUGCAAUAGGAGCAACUUAUCACUGUGCUAUAAGAGAAAUGAUGGAUUUUUAGAUCAGAGAUCUCCCCAGCUGGCCUGGCCCCUGACUGCCACAGGUCCUCGGUCCAUGACAGAUGUGCCCGAGUAGUCAGUCUGCCCCUGUCAGAACGCUUGUUAAAGCACAGCUGAUGCUGUGUUUGACUCUACAAUAUCACUUUGACAUAUUUUUUUGUUGUCAUUUAAUAAACACAGGUAGAUAACUGCGUUCACAUGACAAAGUACAAUGCUGGACAAAUCAACAAAGUAUACAAUUCGAACCUCAGUUUGUGAGUGUACAAUAUAUGCAUGUCAGGUUGUGCAACCAGCACUUUCAGCUAAGAACCACAAGCGCUUCUGUUGUAUUACCUAUGAGGUUACUUUGCGUGAUAGAGAUUAGCUGCAGUAAGCAGGUGUCGGUGGAAUGUAGAGUUCUAGGUAGGUAUUGUAUUGAGGCAUGGAAGAGAGAAGACUCCUGGUUAGCAGGCCUCACUGCGUCCGUACCUGUUCAGUGGGUUGGUGUGCAGUAUGACAGGAAGGUCUGUCGCUGGGUUGGCUUUUCGUUUGGGGUUGGUUUCCGUGUGAGUCUUUCCAACCCGCCCAUGGUACACGUGAGACAUGGUCUCAUUAAUGGCUUGGCAAUCGCAUUCAUUUGGAAAAUACCCCGUGUUCAUUUUCCAUAUUUAAAUACGUUGGGAAAAAAUGUAAAGUUCAGCUGUGAAGCUCAUUCUUCGUUGUUGAUCCAAAAUAAGGAAAUACAUUUCCAUUGAUGCCAUAAAAAGGGAAAAAUUCUUCUUCUUGACUCCAUAAUGGCAAUCUGAUUUCUCUUUGAAUCGACAGCCUGUUUACAUACAUAUUCUGUUUAUGCAGAAAGCAUCCAAGCCUUUAAAAAAAAAAAAAAAAAAAAAUCUAGAAUCUCGUAAAACUGCAUUAUUGUACUUGCGGUAAAGAACCCUUUCCUCCAGCUUCAGUUUGUUAGAAGAAUAGUCAUAGCAUACACUCUAAACCAGGCGUGUCCAACCCGCGGCCCAGAACCACUAGUAAUGGUAAUAAGGCCCAGUUGCUGUCCGGGCGGCGCGGGAGGCAGGGAGCUUGUUUUUUGUUUUUACAUGGCAAUCCCACUCAAACGUAACAAACAAGUUAACAGUUAUCUGCUAAACAAUGUAAAUAUCAAAAUUAAGAAAAUGGCUUUUGAAGUUUUAUUGCUUGUAUACAUUAACUAUAUUAUAUAUUUGCUGUGCGGUCCAAAAACCAUUCCCCUUUGCUCAAUGCAGCCCAGGGAAGCCAAAAGGCUGGACACCCAUGACCUAUUUUAAACCAUACAUUUUGUUCUUUGUUUUUGUGCUUUGUUUUAGACAGACAUAUUAUAUUAUAUUAUAUUUUAUUUUAUAUAUAUUAUUUUUUUGUUCUGUGUAUUAUUCUAUAAAUAUAUUUUAAUCGCAUGCCUUUCAAAACUUGAAUUGAUGCUUAUUGUUUUUCUCGUUCCUGGAUAGAGUAACUGUAAUAUAAAUAGCAUGGUACUAAGUGUGUAUAUUUGGAUCGCUAUAGUGAAUAUAGUUAGGAGAGUAUCUUUAUACUAGAUUAUAGACCUUCUAGGUUUCCCUUACUUGAACAUACAGGGGAUUUAAAGACUUUUCUGGUGGGGCGCAGUGGGUUCUCUCCCUUCCUGGAGAUAGUUGUAUCUAUGGGAGGGCAAUUUGCAUAUUUUACUAAGGCAGGCAUAGGGAACCUUUCGCACUCCAGGUGUUUUGGACUACAUCCUCCAUAAUGCUCUUACACCCGUAAUGCUGGCAAUGCAUCAUGGGAGGUGUAGUCCAAAAUAUCUGGCGUGCUGAAGGUUGCCUAUGCCUACCCUAAGGUAAUACCCCUCUUUGGGUGCAUAGGCGCAGGGAUGCGGUGGAGAGUAGCUGUACUUCCCUGAAGCUGUCCCCCAGAGGCCACAGCAUCUUUUCUUUAACCCCUCUAGCUUCAUCCUUCAGGAGCCUACGUUCUAUUUUGAUAUAUUCUGACAGUGAAUUUCCAACGUGAUCAAUGUAUAUUUCUCAAUUCUCACAUUUUUGUGGUGCAGUUAAAGCCGUUUUAAACUGAGCCUUCCACCCAUCGACACUUGUUUUGUUCCAUAAACCCAUUCUCCGCAUCUUAUUUUAUUGCGGGUUUUCCUUCUAUUCCAACAAUACUGCUCUAAAUGGUCAUGACUUGAAAUUUUGAGUUGUAGUUCAGAACUGUAUUUCAAUUGCCAACAUUCUGCUGUAGAAGGUAAACUCCCAGAAACACUUGCCUGGGAUACUCUCCGCAGCCUAGGCUGGCGUGUUCCUUACCUGCUGUCAUUUUGGAGAUGAUACAGAAUGGGAAGGUUAGUACUCAGGUAGUGGGCUGUAUUGCUAAUCAUAGGGAAACGCAGAGCUUGGUAACCAUGACUACUAUGUAGACCCCCCCCAUCUGCAAACUACAGGGCUGACUAGCACCAAAAGCUGUAACUGUGUGCUGAUUCCAUCUUAAAGCAAAGCCUUUCUAGCGCCUGUUUUACAGAUGGUUAAUACUGAAACCCGCCACCAGAGUGCACUGUUGGCUGCAUUUCUGAAACUUCUUUUCUAUCAGACCGCAAGACAUAAAUGUACAAAGAAACGUAACUUUAUCUCUCACAGUAGAACUCAUCCAGCUUCCUUCCAUCUGCCUAUAACACAUUGUGCUUUUAUCUUUCACAACAUGCGCGAUCUGCUGGUACGGCUACACUGUAUAUAACAUCUAAUCUGCUUACUCACAGGGUCGACUCGUUAUGGUAGCCAGAAAAUGACCGUCGCAGUCUGGACCACUACAAGUAUUGUGAAUACCGAGCCAGUGGACUACGUUCAACAAAGGAUGAAGAAGGGACAAAAUAAUGUUUUAAAACAGUCCGUAUUUUAGACUUUUUUUUUUUUUUUGACUGUAAAAAAAUAAUUUUAUAUUUGGAUGUGGAUACGGUUUCCAGCAAGGACAGUAUUUUAUCAUACUAAAAGGGGAAGCAUGGCUCGAGCUGAUGUGUGCCAACCAUGGACCUGCUAACCAAUAAUGUCAUCCAGCUGACCAAUCCCAAUGCAAAGCUCUAGAACGUUGUGCCAUUGUCUAAGGACACUCUAGAACUUAUUUGGUGCCAAACUUUGUCUUACUGAUCAUUUUCACAUGCUAUUGUAAUUUAGCAUUUUCCAAAUGAAAAUCUUAUUCUUUUUAUAGAUCACGUUUUUGAUUUCCGGUUAUUUUCACAAAUAUAUUGAAAAUAAAUAUUUUCAGGUUAAGUUGUGUUUGGUUUUCUGUUAUGUACCCACCUCAUUUAUAAUGUGUGCGCAAACUUAGUAUUAAUCAGGAAGGGAUCACCUACUGAAAUAAUGUGGGACAAAUUUCAAUGAGUUGGUUAAAACUUCAUAUGAAUAAAAGUAGCUGUAGUAAUAACCAAAUUCCAUAUUCCAAAAUACUCUUCUAGUCUAAGAAAAAUAUCCAAUUGUGGGGACUAAACCCCCACUGCCAUAGGUUCGUUACUCAGCUUCUCUGUACCACAACAAAGAACAAAUGUCGGGGAAAUGAAAGACUCUAUAGUCACCAAAGAAAAAUUAUAUAUAUGUGUGUGUGUGUGUGUGUGUGUCAUUGCUGUAUUAACCCCUUAAGGACCGGCCUGUUUUUGCGAUGUUGUACAUUUGCGACCAGGCCUCUUUUUACACUUUUGUGGUGUUUGUGUUUAGCUGUAAUUUUCCGCUCUCUCAUUUACUGUUCCCAUACAAAUUAUAUAUUGUUUUUUUUCAGGACAAAAAGGGCUUUCUUUAC
RNAcentral lists this long non-coding RNA (14644 nucleotides) under Pelobates cultripes (western spadefoot toad). The record is from RNAcentral. Lineage: Eukaryota; Metazoa; Chordata; Amphibia; Anura; Pelobatidae.